AGUAGGGUUACUACCUUCCGACCGGUUGGGUGUUUGUUGACAUUUGAAAACACCGACCAGAUUGAUCGAGUCGGCAAUUCACGUGGUGCCAUUGACCACACCAGGACAUGUUUACAGGACAGCCGUGCCUCAUCAGAACAUCGACUGCAACUCUGAAAAGCGAGAAUAAUCCCGAAAAGUGUCCAGAUCCAGAUCAACGCCAUUGUCGACGAUCCGUGCUACUGGAGGGUGUAAGAGGAGCUUCCAAGACCUCUAUACCGGGACCCCUGCAUUCCGAGGCCAUCUACAGUGUUUUCGUCAGGAUCCGCUGCCUUUUUUGUCGGGAAUUGUCCUUUGCGGCGCUGUCGAAACGGCCCAGGAACAGUGCAUUGCUAUAAUUUUGUGUCUUUCUUUUGAAUUGUAUACCGCGUUGCGUAUGUUGUAUCCUUCACCAAUUUCUGUUAAUAAAAUUAUAUUCUCCAC
This is a long non-coding RNA of Hermetia illucens (black soldier fly), 462 nucleotides long. RefSeq lists it as uncharacterized. Lineage: Eukaryota; Metazoa; Arthropoda; Insecta; Diptera; Stratiomyidae. The transcript is spliced from 2 exons. The record is from RefSeq and is a predicted model, not a curated record.